CAAAAGUCUUGAAUAAACAAAAAAUAUAUAUUGGAAAACCUAUUAAAUGAAUAAACAAAACUAAAAACAAAACUGAAAAGAGAACUGGAGGUGUGGAUCGGCGGCGUCCACCAUGGUGAAAGGGAUACGAUUUUGGAUCUCUUUUUGUAGCCAACGGAUUUUGGAUCUCUUUUUGCAGCCAGCGGUGGACCUGCAGCCUGCCAAAUUUCAGAUCUCAUUUUUGCCAGCAUCCAAACUCUAGAGUACAAAAAUUAUCGAACACUUGGUUAGCGCAGUCGGCUGAGGGCUAAAUGGUUGCAGGUCCCAGGUUCAAAACCUGUGGUAGCCGACAUUUUGGUGUUUUUUUGAAUUUUUUUAUCCAAUCCUACAUGGGGCUAUAACUAGGGUGUUUUUUUGAAUUUUUUUCAUCCAAUCCUAUGUGGGGCUAUAACUAGGGCAUAUGGUACUAUGCACCAACGACUAAAUAGGAUAAGAUAACAUUUUAAAAAUAAUUAUAAUAGAUUUUUUUAUCCAAUCCUACAUGGGGCUAUAACUAGGGUGUUUUUUUGAAUUUUUUUAUCCAAUCCUACAUGGGGCUAUAACUAGGGCAUAUGGUACUAUGCACCAACGACUAAAUAGGAUAAGAUAACAUUUUAAAAAUAAUUAUAAUAGAUUUAUAUGUAUAAUGAUCAAUUAUUGUUACAAUCUAUCAUCACAAAUACCAACAUUUUGGUAUUUUCUUUUGAAAUUUUCUUCCUUCAAUCCUACGUGGGACUAGGAGUUA
Molecule: long non-coding RNA, 763 nt
Filed under: Sorghum bicolor (sorghum)
Lineage: Eukaryota; Viridiplantae; Streptophyta; Magnoliopsida; Poales; Poaceae
Description: long non-coding RNA (SBIC_LNC008718)
Source: RNAcentral